Molecule: small RNA, 690 nt
Filed under: Fusarium solani
Lineage: Eukaryota; Fungi; Ascomycota; Sordariomycetes; Hypocreales; Nectriaceae
Description: eukaryotic LSU rRNA
Rfam family: 5.8S ribosomal RNA (bases 168-321)
Source: RNAcentral
CAGCGGAGGGAUCAUUACCGAGUUAUACAACUCAUCAACCCUGUGAACAUACCUAAACGUUGCUUCGGCGGGAACAGACGGCCCCGUAACACGGGCCGCCCCCGCCAGAGGACCCCCUAACUCUGUUUUUAUAAUGUUUUUUCUGAGUAAACAAGCAAAUAAAUUAAAACUUUCAACAACGGAUCUCUUGGCUCUGGCAUCGAUGAAGAACGCAGCGAAAUGCGAUAAGUAAUGUGAAUUGCAGAAUUCAGUGAAUCAUCGAAUCUUUGAACGCACAUUGCGCCCGCCAGUAUUCUGGCGGGCAUGCCUGUUCGAGCGUCAUUACAACCCUCAGGCCCCCGGGCCUGGCGUUGGGGAUCGGCGGAGCGCCCCCUGCGGGCACACGCCGUCCCCCAAAUACAGUGGCGGUCCCGCCGCAGCUUCCAUUGCGUAGUAGCUAACACCUCGCAACUGGAGAGCGGCGCGGCCACGCCGUAAAACACCCAACUUCUGAAUGUUGACCUCGAAUCAGGUAGGAAUACCCGCUGAACUUAAGCAUAUCAAUAAGCGGAGGAAAAGAAACCAACAGGGAUUGCCCCAGUAACGGCGAGUGAAGCGGCAACAGCUCAAAUUUGAAAUCUGGCUCUCGGGCCCGAGUUGUAAUUUGUAGAGGAUGCUUUUGGUGAGGUGCCUUCCGAGUUCCCUGGAACG